GACGAACGCUGGCGGCGUGCUUAACACAUGCAAGUCGAACGGAAAGGCCCUGCUUUUGUGGGGUGCUCGAGUGGCGAACGGGUGAGUAACACGUGAGUAACCUGCCCUUGACUUUGGGAUAACUUCAGGAAACUGGGGCUAAUACCGGAUAGGAGCUCCUGCUGCAUGGUGGGGGUUGGAAAGUUUCGGCGGUUGGGGAUGGACUCGCGGCUUAUCAGCUUGUUGGUGGGGUAGUGGCUUACCAAGGCUUUGACGGGUAGCCGGCCUGGGAGGGUGACCGGCCACAGUGGGACUGAGAUACGGCCCAGACUCCUACGGGAGGCAGCAGUGGGGAAUAGUGCACAAUGGGCGGAAGCCUGAUGCAGCAACGCCGCGUGCGGGAUGACGGCCUUCGGGUUGUAAACCGCUUUCGCCUGUGACGAAGCGUGAGUGACGGUAAUGGGUAAAGAAGCACCGGCUAACUACGU
This 467-nucleotide ribosomal RNA is filed under the name uncultured bacterium. RNAcentral describes it as "partial 16S ribosomal RNA". It matches the Rfam family "Bacterial small subunit ribosomal RNA", at positions 28 to 506 of the family's 1533-position model. The record is from RNAcentral.